Molecule: ribosomal RNA, 504 nt
Filed under: uncultured bacterium
Lineage: Bacteria
Description: partial 16S ribosomal RNA
Rfam family: Bacterial small subunit ribosomal RNA
Source: RNAcentral
AUUGAACGCUGGCGGCAGGCUUAACACAUGCAAGUCGAGCGGGGUGAUGGUGCUUGCACUAUCACUUAGCGGCGGACGGGUGAGUAAUGCUUGGGAAUCUGCCUAUUAGUGGGGGACAACAUCUCGAAAGGGAUGCUAAUACCGCAUACGUCCUACGGGAGAAAGCAGGGGAUCACUUGUGACCUUGCGCUAAUAGAUGAGCCUAAGUCGGAGUAGCUAGGUUGGUGGGGUAAAGGCCUACCAAGGCGACGAUCUGUAGCGGGUCUGAGAGGAUGAGCCGCCAGACUGGGCCUGGGGCACGGCCCAGACUCCUACGGGGGGCAGCAGUGGGGAAUAUUGGACAAUGGGGGGAACCCUGAUCCAGCCAUGCCGCGUGUGGGAAGAAGGGCUUAUGGUUGUAAAGCACUUUAAGCGAGGAGGAGGCUCUUUUGGUUAAUACCCAAGAUGAGUGGACGUUACUCGCAGAAUAAGCACCGGCUAACUCUGUGCCAACAGCCGCCGCUG